This 259-nucleotide ribosomal RNA is filed under the name uncultured Pseudomonas sp. RNAcentral describes it as "partial 16S ribosomal RNA". It matches the Rfam family "Bacterial small subunit ribosomal RNA", at positions 94 to 354 of the family's 1533-position model. The record is from RNAcentral. Lineage: Bacteria; Pseudomonadati; Pseudomonadota; Gammaproteobacteria; Pseudomonadales; Pseudomonadaceae.
CGGGACGGGGUGGAGUAAGUAGCCUAGGAAUCUGCCUGGUAGUGGGGGACAACGUUUCGAAAGGAACGCUAAUACCGCAUACGUCCUACGGGAGAAAGCAGGGGACCUUCGGGCCUUGCGCUAUCAGAUGAGCCUAGGUCGGAUUAGCUAGUUGGUGAGGUAAUGGCUCACCAAGGCGACGAUCCGUAACUGGUCUGAGAGGAUGAUCAGUCACACUGGAACUGAGACACGGUCCAGACUCCUACGGGAGGCAGCAGGU